AACGAACGCUGGCGGCAGGCCUAACACAUGCAAGUCGAACGCCCCGCAAGGGGAGUGGCAGACGGGUGAGUAACGCGUGGGAACCUUCCCUUUGGUACGGAAUAAUUCACCGAAAGGUGGACUAAUACCGCAUACGCCCGAGAGGGGAAAGAUUUAUCGCCAAAGGAUGGGCCCGCGUUGGAUUAGCUAGUUGGUGAGGUAACGGCUCACCAAGGCGACGAUCCAUAGCUGGUCUGAGAGGAUGAUCAGCCACACUGGGACUGAGACACGGCCCAGACUCCUACGGGAGGCAGCAGUGGGGAAUAUUGGACAAUGGGCGCAAGCCUGAUCCAGCCAUGCCGCGUGCAGGAUGACGGUCCUAUGGAUUGUAAACUGCUUUGUACAGGAAGAAACCCUUUCACGUGUGGAAGAUUGACGGUACUGUAAGAAUAAGGAUCGGCUAACUCCGUGCCAGCAGCCGCGGUAAAGUGACUACUG
This 477-nucleotide ribosomal RNA is filed under the name uncultured bacterium. RNAcentral describes it as "bacterial SSU rRNA". It matches the Rfam family "Bacterial small subunit ribosomal RNA", at positions 29 to 537 of the family's 1533-position model. The record is from RNAcentral.